This 681-nucleotide ribosomal RNA is filed under the name uncultured Bacteroidales bacterium. RNAcentral describes it as "bacterial SSU rRNA". It matches the Rfam family "Bacterial small subunit ribosomal RNA", at positions 64 to 735 of the family's 1533-position model. Lineage: Bacteria; Pseudomonadati; Bacteroidota; Bacteroidia; Bacteroidales. The record is from RNAcentral.
GAGGGGCAGCAUGAACUUAGCUUGCUAAGUUUGAUGGCGACCGGCGCACGGGUGAGUAACACGUAUCCAACCUGCCGAUGACUCGGGGAUAGCCUUUCGAAAGAAAGAUUAAUACCCGAUGGCAUAAUUCUUCCGCAUGGUAGAAUUAUUAAAGAAUUUCGGUCAUCGAUGGGGAUGCGUUCCAUUAGGUUGUUGGCGGGGUAACGGCCCACCAAGCCUUCGAUGGAUAGGGGUUCUGAGAGGAAGGUCCCCCACAUUGGAACUGAGACACGGUCCAAACUCCUACGGGAGGCAGCAGUGAGGAAUAUUGGUCAAUGGACGAGAGUCUGAACCAGCCAAGUAGCGUGAAGGAUGACUGCCCUAUGGGUUGUAAACUUCUUUUAUACGGGAAUAAAGUGAGGCACGUGUGCCUUUUUGUAUGUACCGUAUGAAUAAGGAUCGGCUAACUCCGUGCCAGCAGCCGCGGUAAUACGGAGGAUCCGAGCGUUAUCCGGAUUUAUUGGGUUUAAAGGGAGCGUAGGCGGACGCUUAAGUCAGUUGUGAAAGUUUGCGGCUCAACCGUAAAAUUGCAGUUGAUACUGGGUGUCUUGAGUACAGUAGAGGCAGGCGGAAUUCGUGGUGUAGCGGUGAAAUGCUUAGAUAUCACGAAGAACUCCGAUUGCGAAGGCAGCUUGCUGGACU